This 26-nucleotide non-coding RNA is filed under the name Homo sapiens (human). The record is from RNAcentral. Lineage: Eukaryota; Metazoa; Chordata; Mammalia; Primates; Hominidae.
UAUAGCGAAGUCAUGUUCGAUAGGGA